UGGGGAAUAUUGCACAAUGGGGGAAACCCUGAUGCAGCAACGCCGCGUGAGUGAAGAAGGUUUUCGGAUUGUAAAGCUCUGUUAGCAGGGAAGAGGAAGGACGGUACCUGCAGAGGAAGCCACGGCUAACUACGUGCCAGCAGCCGCGGUAAUACGUAGGUGGCAAGCGUUGUUCGGAAUAACUGGGCGUAAAGGAUGCGUAGGCGGUUAAACAAGUUAUAUGUUAAAUAUAUAGGCUUAACCUGUAGAAAGCAUAUAAAACUGUUUAACUAGAGUGCAGGAGAGGUAAGUGGAAUUCCUAGU
This 303-nucleotide ribosomal RNA is filed under the name uncultured bacterium. Its description in RNAcentral is "bacterial SSU rRNA". It matches the Rfam family "Bacterial small subunit ribosomal RNA", at positions 355 to 674 of the family's 1533-position model. The record is from RNAcentral.